GUGCUCGCUUCGGCAGCACAUAUACUAAAACUGGAACGAUACAGAGAUUAGCAUGGCCCCUGCGCAAGGAUGUCACGCAAAUUCGUGAAGCGUUCCAUAUUUCU
RNAcentral lists this small nuclear RNA (104 nucleotides) under Tupaia belangeri (northern tree shrew). The record is from RNAcentral. Lineage: Eukaryota; Metazoa; Chordata; Mammalia; Scandentia; Tupaiidae.